This 368-nucleotide transfer-messenger RNA is filed under the name bacterium. RNAcentral describes it as "UBA4427 sp011051925 Standard tmRNA". It matches the Rfam family "transfer-messenger RNA". From Rfam's summary of the family: Bacterial tmRNA, also known as 10Sa RNA or SsrA, is named for its dual tRNA and mRNA-like properties. Its role is to liberate the mRNA from a stalled ribosome. To accomplish this part of the tmRNA is used as a reading frame that ends in a translation stop signal. The record is from RNAcentral. RNAcentral also lists the same sequence under 1 other name.
GGGGGCGAUCUGGCUUCGACGGGUUGAAGAAGUCGGACGUUGCGUGUCGAGGUCGUCACCAACCUCGUUAAACCGGUGCAAUUAUUGGUAAUUCAUAACUGCCGAUGAUAACUACGCUCUCGCUGCCUAACUAACCCUUAGGAACUAGCGACAUCCGUCCAUGACGUCCUCUAGUGGGUCGCGGAUGCAAUCAGAGGACUGGCUUCCGAGCGCUGCUCGGCCGUAUCCGGAAGCGAGAUCACGUCGAGCUAGGGUCUGCUGGGUCCGUCUCUGCACCGGGCAGCCCCGAAAUCAAGCGGAGACUACACACGUAGACGCGUUCGGGUGACGCAAUGCGGACGCGGGUUCGAUUCCCGCCGCCUCCACCA